RNA transcript from Musa acuminata AAA Group (dessert banana), 1059 nucleotides. RefSeq lists it as uncharacterized. The transcript has 7 exons. The record is from RefSeq and is a predicted model, not a curated record. NCBI's taxonomy places the organism in Eukaryota, Viridiplantae, Streptophyta, Magnoliopsida, Zingiberales, Musaceae.
GCGUCAAUUCUUGGUCGGUUCUCUUGCCGUUCUGUUCCGCCCUUCUCCCCUUGCCGGCCUCCUCUUUCGCCUUCUGAUGGCAGCAGAGAAGGGUUUCGAAGACUUCGGCGAUGUCUUCGGGGAAGCGACGCCGGAGUGGGAUUCUGCGACCGCUACCACCGCUGCCGUGCCCCUCUUCCCCUCCCUCUUCUACGCCUACGCCCCCGACCCGUCCCGCGUCGAAGUCCUCGCCACCGACUUCCACUCCUUCACCUUCGCCCGCGUCCUCACGGUGCAUGACAUCGAAGACCUCAGAGAUGACAUUGGAAUUGGUGGCUCAUGGUCUGAAUUUGUUGACUACCUCAAAUCAUCUCUGUCUUCCGGAGAUGUUAAGCUUAUAUUGGGUGGUUUGCAAAAUGUAGGCUCUGGGAACGUCCAUGCAACCUUAAUUGCUCUCAAGUCAAAGGGAUUGCCUCGCAUAUCUCUGUCUCUCAACAUAGUCUCAAAUGUGCCAGCUAGUGAUGCAAUGGGAACACUGUCUCUAGCACUUUUCAGGGCAUUUAAGAAAACACAAAGUGAUGCUGUGAAAGAACAUCAACGCUCGUCUCAAUUAAUGGAAUCCUUAUCGUCUGAAAGGGAAAAGAAUGAUAAUCUCGAAAAACAGCUUGAUUCUCUUUCAUUUCUAAGUAAACGGAAGGCAUCUAAGCCAAAUUUGGCGGUGAAGGCAUCCACUGCUUCUGAUGUCCUUCUCAACAACUUUGAAACAUCUGAUUCAGGACUGCAACAAUUUUCAGAGUAUAUUAUAUUGGAUUGGCAUGGUGUUUUGUAUAAUAUAUCUUUGGUAGCAAGAUUAAUUUAUACGAGGGAUAAACCUUAUGACGAAAAUUAUAGUUACCCGUAAGCCACUUUGGGUUACUGAACUUGUGAUGUAGAUGUCGCAGCUACAAAGGGUCCCCAAGUUACCAAAACUAGUAAGCGAGGUGCCCUGGUCUCUCGUAGGUCAAGAGUUAGAGGUGUUCUCUUGCAAGAUAUCAAGGAUACUGAUGACAACUAGGAUGCAGGAUUCCUCAAAAAGUUUCA